CUCACACACUGAAUCAACGUCAACAGGAGGGGAGGUUCAAGCAGGAGCGAGCUUAAGCAAUGGACAGUUUUGUUCAACAAACUCAUCAACUGGAAUCUUGAGUGCCUCAUUGAAAAAUUUGCUGAUUCGAAAGGCAUACUAGCACUUAAAACCUUGCCUGUCAUUCUUCCCCCACCUGUGUACAAGAUUGGCCACAAAACCUUUCGGCCAACUAUUCAAGAGGCAAGAACCUCAUUCAUUGAUGUACAACCUUCUGGACCUGGAAAGGCAGAAAGAAGCGAAACCCUUCCCCUUUGUCUUGGAGCUUGGAAUUGCGGGACAGUUUUUUGUGGUGGUGAAUGGGGAAGCUCUGGAACAGGUGACUCUCCUCAAGGCUGUGGAUCUUUGUUUCAAGGCAUUUUAUUGCUUUGACAUUCACUAUCCGAAACAAUGUGCCCCUGUUUGGGAAUUUUUGCAGCAAGUAGUGUAUGGAAUGCCUGGGACAGAAAAUUCAAGCAUACGGUUUUUGCGGGCCUCCAUUUUUGCUGCAGAGGACUAAAUGAUUAAAUGACUAAAUGAGCUAUUUAUCUGUACAUUUUUCUUUCAUUUUUGUUUUACAUUUUUGGGAAGAGAUCCUUUAGCUAUUUAUUAAUCUUUAAUCUUAAAUCCUUCAAGUAUACCGUUUUCACAUGUCUCCCAUUUUUGCUGCACAGGACUAAUUGAUUGCUUAUUUAAAUGAAUUUCAAGUAUGUAAAUAGGUUUUAUUUCAUUGUAAUUUUUUGUGAAAAGAAUCUUUAGCUAAUUUACAGUUUAUAUGCAGAGUUUGUAUGUGCCUCCUAUUUUUGCUGCACAGGACUAAUUGAUUGCUUAUUUAAAUUAAUUACAAUGUACUUAUGGAUUUUUUAUUGUAAUUUUUUUGUGAAGAGAAUCUAGCUAUUUUGCACAGUUUAUACGCAGUUUUUGUGUCUCCCAUUUCCAUUUUUGAUGCACAGGACUAAUUGAUUCUUUAUUUAAAUGAAUUUCAAGUCUGUAAAUAUGUUUUAUUUCAGUGUAAUUUUUUGUGAAGAGAAUCUUUAGCUAUUCUGCACAGUUUAUACAAGUUUUUAUGUGUCUCCCAUUUCCAUUUUUGAUGCUCAGGACUAAUUGAUUGCUUAUUUAAAUGAAUGUACUUAUGUGAAGAGAAGAGAAUAUUUAGCUAUAGGCUCUUUUACAGUUACUAAAGUUUUUAUUUUGCUACACAGGA
This is a non-coding RNA of Pimephales promelas (fathead minnow), 1222 nucleotides long. Lineage: Eukaryota; Metazoa; Chordata; Actinopteri; Cypriniformes; Leuciscidae. The record is from RefSeq and is a predicted model, not a curated record.